AGUUUGAUGGCGACCGGCGCACGGGUGAGUAACACGUAUCCAACCUGCCGAUGACUCGGGGAUAGCCUUUCGAAAGAAAGAUUAAUACCCGAUGGCAUAGUUCUUCCGCAUGGUGGAACUAUUAAAGAAUUUCGGUCAUCGAUGGGGAUGCGUUCCAUUAGGUUGUUGGCGGGGUAACGGCCCACCAAGCCUUCGAUGGAUAGGGGUUCUGAGAGGAAGGUCCCCCACAUUGGAACUGAGACACGGUCCAAACUCCUACGGGAGGCAGCAGUGAGGAAUAUUGGUCAAUGGACGAGAGUCUGAACCAGCCAAGUAGCGUGAAGGAUGACUGCCCUAUGGGUUGUAAACUUCUUUUAUACGGGAAUAAAGUGAGGCACGUGUGCCUUUUUGUAUGUACCGCAUGAAUAAGGAUCGGCUAACUCCGUGCCAGCAGCCGCGGUAAUACGGAGGAUCCGAGCGUUAUCCGGAUUUAUUGGGUUUAAAGGGAGCGUAGGCAGACGCUUAAGUCAGUUGUGAAAGUUUGCGGCUCAACCGUAAAAUUGCAGUUGAUACUGGGUGUCUUGAGUACAGUAGAGGCAGGCGGAAUUCGUGGUGUAGCGGUGAAAUGCUUAGAUAUCACGAAGAACUCCGAUUGCGAAGGCAG
RNAcentral lists this ribosomal RNA (643 nucleotides) under uncultured Bacteroidales bacterium. Its description in RNAcentral is "bacterial SSU rRNA". It matches the Rfam family "Bacterial small subunit ribosomal RNA", at positions 82 to 724 of the family's 1533-position model. The record is from RNAcentral. Lineage: Bacteria; Pseudomonadati; Bacteroidota; Bacteroidia; Bacteroidales.